GACAGAGGGUGCAAACGUUGUUCGGAAUUACUGGGCGUAAAGCGCGUGUAGGCUGCUCUGCAAGUCGGGUGUGAAAGCCCCGGGCUCAACCUGGGAAGUGCACUCGAAACUGCAGAGCUCGAGUCCUGGAGAGGAAGGCGGAAUUCUCGGUGUAGAGGUGAAAUUCGUAGAUAUCGAGAGGAACACCGGUGGCGAAGGCGGCCUUCUGGACAGUGACUGACGCUGAGACGCGAAAGCGUGGGGAGCAAACAGG
This 253-nucleotide ribosomal RNA is filed under the name uncultured bacterium. RNAcentral describes it as "partial 16S ribosomal RNA". It matches the Rfam family "Bacterial small subunit ribosomal RNA", at positions 524 to 776 of the family's 1533-position model. The record is from RNAcentral.